AGUAAUGACUCUCGUGCCUUGAGAGAAGAAAAACAGAGGACAAAAUAACCACAAAUAAAUAAUAAAAGUAGAGAAUCUACACUGUUAGAUGUCGCUGUAGAUUUAGCAGUACAUUACUGUAAAAAUCCACAGUACUAUACUGUAUGUAUACAUUACAGUACAGUACUGCAGUUCAUAAUGCAUUCUGGGUAAAUUUGUUUGAGCGGGAAAAUUUUACAGUAUAUUUUGGUCUUGAUGUAACCUUGCUGUAGCCAUUGCUGUAAUGUGCCAGGUGUACUUGCAAUAAUCAGAGAAAGUGCGCCAGAGUCAAAUCACACAGAGGGAGAGAGAGCACAACUCCUGGCUGCAGCUGAAGGAGGACGAUUGAUUUCUGGCAGUUCGUCUUACCAUUGCUUGUAAGCUGGAUUGGGUAAGAUGGAUCAUCUUUAAAGGCACCAGGAGUUAAGGCAGAUGUGGAGGCACAACGGGUGAUACCAGACACACACCAAGCACAUUAUGUUCGGACAUUCAAUCAUGACAGGAUCCAGGUGGAUGCUGUCCAUUGAUGAAAGAGUUUGUUCCGAGGUUUCUGGAUAGAAUUAAUUCCAAAGAUGGGAAAAAGUGCACAUCCAGACAAGGAGCAAGCAAAAAGACAAGGAACUUGGUGCAGAAAAAAGCUGUGGCCAUUAACCCCCAUGUGAACAGCUUCAUGCAGUCCCUGAUUGAGUUCGAAUGGACGACUUCAAAGUAAAGGCCACUGUGGUCUGUCUGCCACAGUUUAAUUUUUAAUUUAUUUUUAGUGUUCAAUGAAAUUCAAGUAGAAUAUUUAAAACUAUGAGCCAGUGUUGUUUUUACCACAGUGAAAUGUUACCUUUUAGUCGAUGAUGGACUUUAAACUGAAAACUUCAAACUAUGGACCAGUGUUCUAUUUGCCAGAGUUAAAUAUGUUACAGCAGGGGUCUCCAAACUUGUUUAUACUUGUUGAUUUUAUUUUAUUUAACUUGUUUAUAUGUUUAUUAUUGUUUAAAAUCUUGUUUUAAAUAUGUUUUGUUUCAAUUAAAUGUUUUUUUUAAAUAAAAUUUUGAUACAUACAUUGCUUGGA
Long non-coding RNA from Paramisgurnus dabryanus, 1081 nucleotides. RefSeq lists it as uncharacterized. Lineage: Eukaryota; Metazoa; Chordata; Actinopteri; Cypriniformes; Cobitidae. The record is from RefSeq and is a predicted model, not a curated record.